Molecule: long non-coding RNA, 420 nt
Filed under: Lathyrus oleraceus (garden pea)
Lineage: Eukaryota; Viridiplantae; Streptophyta; Magnoliopsida; Fabales; Fabaceae
Description: Pisum sativum (pea) long non-coding RNA (PSAT_LNC011835)
Source: RNAcentral
UUUUCAUAGAUCCAUCAUCAUUCAAAUAGGUUAGGAAAAUAUUUUUGUAUUUUUUGAAUAUCAAAAACUAUUUAAAAUGAAUUAAAAACAACCAGAAAAGAGAAAAUUCAUAAAAAAUAUCAAAUGAUAAAAAAAAAAUCAGAAAUAGAAACUAGAAUUUAUUUAGAGACUAAUGCAAUUGGUCCCAUAAUUUUUGGAUUAAAAAUGAAAGAGUUAUGAUUUUUUGAAAUAAAAUGAAAUAAACAAAAUAAAAUGAAAUAAAUCAGAAAAUGCAAAAAGCCUGGCGCAUUGGAUCAAGUUUCAUUAAAUGAUGUGGCACAUCAGAUGGCUCACAGGCGCGCGCGUAUCAUAGGCUUGAGUCAAAGGCGAAGCACAAUGUAUUAAAAAAGUCAUAACAAUGAAUGGCAUGGAUUAGAUCUG